UGGGGAAUUUUGGACAAUGGGCGAAAGCCUGAUCCAGCAAUGCCGCGUGUGUGAAGAAGGCCUUCGGGUUGUAAAGCACUUUUGUCCGGAAAGAAAUCCUUGGCUCUAAUACAGUCGGGGGAUGACGGUACCGGAAGAAUAAGCACCGGCUAACUACGUGCCAGCAGCCGCGGUAAUACGUAGGGUGCAAGCGUUAAUCGGAAUUACUGGGCGUAAAGCGUGCGCAGGCGGUUUGCUAAGACCGAUGUGAAAUCCCCGGGCUCAACCUGGGAACUGCAUUGGUGACUGGCAGGCUAGAGUAUGGCAGAGGGGGGUAGAAUUCCACGUGUAGCAGUGAAAUGCGUAGAGAUGUGGAGGAAUACCGAUGGCGAAGGCAGCCCCCUGGGCCAAUACUGACGCUCAUGCACGAAAAGCGUGGGGGAGCAAAACAGGAUUAGAUACCCUGGUAGUCCACGCCCUAAAACGAUGUCAACUAGUUGUUGGGGAUUCAUUUCCUUAGUAACGUAGCUAACGCGUGAAGUUGACCGCCUGGGGGAGUACGGUCGCAAGAUUAAAACUUAAAUGAAUUGACGGGGUCAUAGCUGUUUCCU
Molecule: ribosomal RNA, 590 nt
Filed under: uncultured bacterium
Lineage: Bacteria
Description: partial 16S ribosomal RNA
Rfam family: Bacterial small subunit ribosomal RNA
Source: RNAcentral